GACGAACGCUGGCGGCGUGCCUAAUACAUGCAAGUCGUGCGGGCCUUUUAAAAGCUUGCUUUUAAAAGGUUAGCGGCGGACGGGUGAGUAACACGUGGGCAACCUGCCUGUAAGAUCGGGAUAACGCCGGGAAACCGGGGCUAAUACCGGAUAGUUUUUUCCUCCGCAUGGAGGAAAAAGGAAAGGCGGCUUCGGCUGUCACUUACAGAUGGGCCCGCGGCGCAUUAGCUAGUUGGCGGGGUAACGGCCCACCAAGGCAACGAUGCGUAGCCGACCUGAGAGGGUGAUCGGCCACAUUGGGACUGAGACACGGCCCAAACUCCUACGGGAGGCAGCAGUAGGGAAUCUUCCGCAAUGGACGAAAGUCUGACGGAGCAACGCCGCGUGAGUGAAGAAGGCCUUCGGGUCGUAAAACUCUGUUGCCGGGGAAGAACAAGUGCCGUUCGAACAGGGCGGCGCCUUGACGGUACCCGGCCAGAAAGCCACGGCUAACUAC
This 496-nucleotide ribosomal RNA is filed under the name uncultured bacterium. RNAcentral's name for it is "bacterial SSU rRNA". It matches the Rfam family "Bacterial small subunit ribosomal RNA", at positions 28 to 504 of the family's 1533-position model. The record is from RNAcentral.